Long non-coding RNA from Elaeis guineensis (African oil palm), 1784 nucleotides. RefSeq lists it as uncharacterized. Lineage: Eukaryota; Viridiplantae; Streptophyta; Magnoliopsida; Arecales; Arecaceae. The record is from RefSeq and is a predicted model, not a curated record.
CUACUUUUCAAGAAGCGCCUCUUUUUCCCUCUACUUCCUCUCAACCAAACGAAUCCCAAAAGGAAACCUAUCCAAUUUCUUCGACUACCCCUUACAAUUAUUCCUUCUCUUCCUUCCUUCUUUGACGUCUCCUCACUAGCACUUCAUCUCUCUCUCGUCUUUGCUCUAUCUCAACCAUCGAUCAAUAUAACGAGCAUGCCAUCUUUCUAACCACAGCAUCGUAUCACUGGUCUUUCUUUCGGGAGCAUAUCAUGCAGUGUCACUGUUCGAAGAAAUGCCUAACUAACUCUCUUUGUUGUUUUGGAUUUUAGUGGUCGCUGACUGAUGCCACUUUGAAUCGUUGAUUGUAUUGGAUUCAGCAACAAUUUGCUAGAAGUAGGGCACUGUCUUAUGUCAUUAGUUGACCUUGAAUCUUUUCUCUAUCAUUUCAUGAUGCUUGACUGAAACCUGUAAAGCUAACUUUGGUAGAGAUUAGGAUUAGUCUGCUUCUAUGAUUCUUUGGGUCAGUGAAGUGCAUGAAAUUUACUUUGUUAAUAUCCAUGAAAAGAGAAACUCUGUCUUUCACACCCUGGAAGCUCUUGGAAUCAUCCAUCAACUCCAUCCAGGCGAGAGGAAGCUUAAUUGGUGAGCCGGCAGGCCAGAAGUUGCAGAAAGGUUCAGACCAUCUUGCACUGCACAUGAGCCAUCCCUCCAGCUCCAUCUAGUGCUAGUAUUUCCUACCUUCUCUCUAAAAUGUCUUGAGGCUUGCUACAACUAGGCAGUCACAUAGGCAACCAUACAUAUUAAGAAAGGAACUUGCUAAUCUCUUGACCAUAAAAUUGCUACCUCAAUCUUACUAAACCAAAGCAGCUGCAUCUAAAUUUUACUGUCACAAUAUUGUAUAUGCAACUUAUUGUGUCCCUCAUUAUUGCGUAGCAGAGAGCUGGAAUCCUCAAGCUGUAAAUGACCAGUUAUCUUGUCCAGAUUAACUUAUGACUUUUGUGAGCGUAUUGUGCUUUAAUUCAAGCUUGUCGGUUGGGAGCAUCCAUGGGGGUAGUGACAAGAACAAAGUAGAAGAUGGACAUUGCCUGACCGAUAAAGAUGUGAUCAAGUUAAAAAAAUGUUAAGAUGAAUGGGGAACGACUGGAACUGACAGAAGCCGUUGUGCAUGUUCAGAGGCAUAAAACUUGUACUUUCAUGUAGAUCACCACCUGAGAACCAUCUUGCCAGGCAUUUUUACUUUUAAAGCUGCACAAAAACUUUCAAUAUUUAAUUGGUUGCUUGGUCACCGGGUCAAGCAGCUCUCCUAUGAAAAAUUGAUCAAUUCCUGGAGAACUGUGGUGAAUGCUUGUUUCCAAUAUCAUCAUAUUUCUCAGCACCAAUGCAUCCUGGUCUCUUUCCAAAAUGUAGAAUCUUGCAUGGCGCCUGUUCAGAUACUAGGCUUGUCGUCAGUUGAGAUCUCUUAUUCGGGCCCAUGUUCUUCAAGCUGCUUGCAGCUAAGAAGAAACUUAACAUCAGCAGAUACUGAAAAUAAGUCUGGCUCAGCUUCCUGUGGGGGAACUUUUGUAUAUGUUGGUGAUGUGCCCUCAAUGGCAUAUUCCAUUAAUCCAUUCAAUUAUCAGCAAAUCAGCCUCUAAAGGCAUCAAUUAUUUUCAGUGCACAUUUACCAUAUGUAUUGUAGAAGGGUUUGGCUUGUGCCUUCCACAUAUCUGCAACUUUGGGUUUAGUAAAUAACUUGCCAGUAAGUCAUAAUGCUGUCCAUCUACUUUCUGAAAAUUGAUAAAACCAAUCAAGCAUCAUGGUUC